Molecule: ribosomal RNA, 395 nt
Filed under: uncultured bacterium
Lineage: Bacteria
Description: bacterial SSU rRNA
Rfam family: Bacterial small subunit ribosomal RNA
Source: RNAcentral
AUUGAACGCUGGCGGCAGGCCUAACACAUGCAAGUCGAACGGUAACAGGAAGAAGCUUGCUUCUUUGCUGACGAGUGGCGGACGGGUGAGUAAUGUCUGGGAAACUGCCUGAUGGAGGGGGAUAACUACUGGAAACGGUAGCUAAUACCGCAUAACGUCGCAAGACCAAAAGAGGGGGACCUUCGGGCCUCUUGCCAUCGGAUGUGCCCAGAUGGGAUUAGCUAGUAGGUGGGGUAACGGCUCACCUAGGCGACGAUCCCUAGCUGGUCUGAGAGGAUGACCAGCCACACUGGAACUGAGACACGGUCCAGACUCCUACGGGAGGCAGCAGUGGGGAAUAUUGCACAAUGGGCGCAAGCCUGAUGCAGCCAUGCCGCGUGUAUGAAGAAGGCCUC